AGGGUAAUAGCUCAGUGGUAGAGUGCAUGCUUAGCAUGCACAAAGUCCUGAGUUCAGUCCUCAGUACCUCCA
This 72-nucleotide transfer RNA is filed under the name Camelus bactrianus (Bactrian camel). It matches the Rfam family "tRNA". From Rfam's summary of the family: Transfer RNA (tRNA) molecules are approximately 80 nucleotides in length. Their secondary structure includes four short double-helical elements and three loops (D, anti-codon, and T loops). The record is from Rfam by way of RNAcentral. Lineage: Eukaryota; Metazoa; Chordata; Mammalia; Artiodactyla; Camelidae. RNAcentral also lists the same sequence under 2 other names.